RNAcentral lists this ribosomal RNA (459 nucleotides) under uncultured bacterium. Its description in RNAcentral is "partial 16S ribosomal RNA". It matches the Rfam family "Bacterial small subunit ribosomal RNA", at positions 338 to 795 of the family's 1533-position model. The record is from RNAcentral.
CCUACGGGAGGCAGCAGUGAGGAAUAUUGGUCAAUGGCCGAGAGGCUGAACCAGCCAAGUCGCGUGAGGGAAGACGGCCCUACGGGUUGUAAACCUCUUUUGUCGGGGAGCAAAGCGAACCACGUGUGGUUUAUUGAGAGUACCCGAAGAAAAAGCAUCGGCAAACUCCGUGACAGCAGCCGCGGUAAUACAGAGGAUGCGAGCGUUAUCCGGAUCUAUUGGGUUUAAAGGGUGCGCAGGCGGAGGUGCAAGUCAGCGGUCAAAUUGCGGGGCUCAACCCCGUACUGCCGUUGAUACUGCAUCCCUUGAGUGCGCGAGAGGUAUGCGGAAUGCGUGGUGUAGCGGUGAAAUGCAUAGAUAUCACGCAGAACUCCGAUUGCGAAGGCAGCAUACCGGCGCGCAACUGACGCUCAUGCACGAAAGCGUGGGUAUCGAACAGGAUUAGAUACCCUGGUAGUC